AAAGUCGUAACAAGGUUUCCGUAGGUGAACCUGCGGAAGGAUCAUUACCAAAUCCAAAUUCAAACCCCAUGUGAACUAUUGUAUAGUCUGUCUUUGGGAGAGAAAGAAAAUGAAAAAAUUUGAAAUUAAAACCUUCACUUUUUUUUUUGGAUUUUUCUCCCAAUAGAGUCCGGCACAAUUUUAUUGUUGUGUCCAGAUUCGAAACCCCUUUUAAACCACUUGAUUUUUCUGUUGGAAUUAACUUUUAUUAAUUUUAAAUAAAAGACAACUUUUAACGGCGGAUCUCUUGGCUCGU
Molecule: unclassified non-coding RNA, 295 nt
Filed under: Basidiomycota sp.
Lineage: Eukaryota; Fungi; Basidiomycota
Description: partial contains small subunit ribosomal RNA, internal transcribed spacer 1, and 5.8S ribosomal RNA
Rfam family: Eukaryotic small subunit ribosomal RNA (bases 1-47)
Source: RNAcentral